This 323-nucleotide long non-coding RNA is filed under the name Rattus norvegicus (Norway rat). RNAcentral describes it as "long non-coding RNA NONRATT033675". The record is from RNAcentral. Lineage: Eukaryota; Metazoa; Chordata; Mammalia; Rodentia; Muridae.
AUCCAGGAAGGGGAUGUCUGUGUCUCCGUCUGUCCCAACCAAAACUGUAUCUCUGUUGUUCAGCAGAUGCUUAAGAACCAUCUUUCAAAUGGACAAAGGACCCUUUAUUUGAGAAAAUUAAGUUUGUCCAGUAAACAAUAUUCAUUGAGGAGAUUCUUCAUAGAUAGCACAUACGGUCAUAAAAGGAGAACCAGCUCAUUUUAACUUGGAGGUAAAAGCCCUUACUUGGGAAUUCUCAUUAACAUCUCCCUCCCUGUUUUAAGUUUUAAGCAUUGUAUUAUUGGAUACACACAGGAAGUCUGACCCUCCUUUCUUGGACAUGG